AGAGUUUGAUCCUGGCUCAGAAUCAACGCUGGCGGCGUGCCUAACACAUGCAAGUCGAACGCGAAAGCCCCGCAAGGGGUAAGUAGAGUGGCAGACGGGUGAGUAACGCGUGGGUGACCUACCUUCGAGUGGGGGAUAACGUUCCGAAAGGGACGCUAAUACCGCAUGACAUCCUGCCUUUGAACAGGCGGUGAUCAAAGCCGGAACCGCAAGGUCUGGCGCUUGAUGAGGGGCCCGCGUCCGAUUAGCUAGUUGGUGGGGUAAUGGCUCACCAAGGCGACGAUCGGUAGCCGGCCUAAGAGGGCGGACGGCCACACUGGGACUGAGACACGGCCCAGACUCCUACGGGAGGCAGCAGUGGGGAAUUGUUCGCAAUGGGCGCAAGCCUGACGACGCAACGCCGCGUGGAGGAUGAAGAUCUUCGGGUCGUAAACUCCUGUCGAGCGGGACGAAAGAUCCACGACCUAAUACGUCGUGGAAGUGACG
This 486-nucleotide ribosomal RNA is filed under the name uncultured bacterium. RNAcentral's name for it is "bacterial SSU rRNA". It matches the Rfam family "Bacterial small subunit ribosomal RNA", at positions 8 to 474 of the family's 1533-position model. The record is from RNAcentral.